Molecule: long non-coding RNA, 1152 nt
Organism: Passer domesticus (house sparrow)
Lineage: Eukaryota; Metazoa; Chordata; Aves; Passeriformes; Passeridae
Exons: 5
Source: RefSeq, a predicted model, not a curated record
CUCUCAUGGUGCCCUGCCAAUGAGUAGACUGGGGACACACACAGCAGGAACCUUUUACUCAACUGACCAACAAGACUUCCCAUACCAUACAACAAUGUGCUCAUCAUUACAAAAGGGAGAAAGAAUAAAAAAAAUGGACACUGAACGAAUUGUUGCUCUUCAUUGGCAGAAGAUAGCAAGAUGUUGAGACAUCUCUUCUGAUAAGGAUCCUGAAGAAUUAUAUAAACAACAAAUGAAAGCAGAAACAUAAAACAGCAGAAAUAACCCCCCCAUUUCUCAACCUGUCAGCUACAUUAAAAAAGCCCCAUUAAAGCAGAGUAAGUGGCAUACACAAGGGCAGCUGCUGCUACAGGAAAACUUCAUUGAAAAUAUACGGUGGUCUUGUAUGAAGAAGAGGACUGGACAAGUUGUUCCCCUAAAAUCUUUUCCAACCUCUGACAAGCUGCUGUUCUGCAAUUCUGCUGGCUUACCCUUUCAUCAAAAUUAAUUAAAAAAAAAAAAAAGGCAAAAUACAAAGAAAAAGUGAAGAAAAAAGAAAUAUGGAUGUUAGUGCCCAACUGCAAGCAGUGAACUAAAAAAACAAAAUGCCUUGUAAUUUGGCUUCUCAGCAGAUUCUGAUACUGUACCCAUUAGAACUGGAUGUUCAGAAAGGCUGUCACUCUACAGUGCCAAUGCAUUGUAAAAAAGAAGGGUAAUUUGAAGUCGAUCAGCCACCACUUUUCAGCAAAGAAAUCAGAUCUGCCUUUUUUGACAUUCUAUCCUAAAGAAAGUUCGCCAGCAUUAUAGUAGAAGAUUUGAGAGAUGUGUGAAUUCUCAGAUGGGAAAUGAUAUUAUACUUUUUAAACAAAACAAAAUAUUCACAAAUACUAACUGUCUGCAGAUUUGGAUGGUUAAACAAAAAGAGAAAUAUUCCAUUUAACUAUUAGGCUGCACUGUUCAUCUUUGUAAGAUAAUGCUGAUAAAAUUUUCACAGAUCUCAUGCAUUAAGAAGAACUAUUUGACUUCAGUAUCAUACUAGCUGAUUUCCAUGGGAAAACCUUUUACAUAGAGCAUGGUUUUGUUUUCAGAGUAAUUCAUUAUGAUUGUUAUUGUUGCUGUUAUCAUUAUUAACUUGUGCCUGAAUUUCUGCCACUCUGCCUUCUAUAUGCCUAA